RNAcentral lists this RNase P RNA (332 nucleotides) under Thermoplasmata archaeon HGW-Thermoplasmata-1. RNAcentral's name for it is "RNase P RNA component". It matches the Rfam family "Archaeal RNase P". From Rfam's summary of the family: Ribonuclease P (RNase P) is a ubiquitous endoribonuclease, found in archaea, bacteria and eukarya as well as chloroplasts and mitochondria. Its best characterised activity is the generation of mature 5'-ends of tRNAs by cleaving the 5'-leader elements of precursor-tRNAs. Cellular RNase Ps are ribonucleoproteins. The record is from RNAcentral. Lineage: Archaea; Methanobacteriati; Thermoplasmatota; Thermoplasmata.
GGGAGUGGGCGGCUGACCAACGGUUGGCCCCGCUUCUAAUGCGAGGUUAUCAACUGAGGAAACUCCCCUCUUGUACGACGGCGGGGAAGGGACAGAAGUCCCCGGCGCGAGAGUGCCGACGAAGGCGCAGAAACGACACAGCCCGCAAGGAGGAUGAAGGUGGUUGCACCGGACGUUCUUGCGGGAUUUGGUGAAACGGCCAUUCGCCCCAAGCAAGUCCAAAUGUCGGGAUACGGUUGCCGUUGUCCGCCCGUAAGUAGGACGCUAAGUAGAAUGUCAGCAGCGCAUGGGUUUCCCGUGCGUGAACAGAAAGGGGGUUAUGACCUACACCC